This 395-nucleotide ribosomal RNA is filed under the name uncultured bacterium. RNAcentral describes it as "bacterial SSU rRNA". It matches the Rfam family "Bacterial small subunit ribosomal RNA", at positions 29 to 416 of the family's 1533-position model. The record is from RNAcentral.
AACGAACGCUGGCGGCGCGCCUAAUACAUGCAAGUCGAGCGAGAAGACGUAGCAAUACGUUUGUAAAGCGGCGAACGGGUGAGGAAUACAUGGGUAACCUACCCUCGAGUGGGGAAUAACUAGCCGAAAGGUUAGCUAAUACCGCGUACGCUCCUUGGACUUCGGUUCAGGGAGGAAAGCGAUACCGUGGGUAUCGCGCUCUUGGAUGGGCUCAUGUCCUAUCAGCUUGNGGUGAGGUAACGGCUCACCAAGGCUUCGACGGGUAGCUGGUCUGAGAGGACGAUCAGCCACACUGGCACUGCGACACGGGCCAGACUCCUACGGGAGGCAGCAGUAAGGAUAUUGCGCAAUGGGCGAAAGCCUGACGCAGCGACGCCGCGUGGGGGAUGAAGGUC